AUUGAACGCUGGCGGUAUGCUUAACACAUGCAAGUCGAACGGCAGCACAGUAUGUAGCAAUACAUAUGGGUGGCGAGUGGCGGACGGGUGAGUAACGCGUAGGAAUCUACCCUAAAGCGGGGGACAACCCGAGGAAACUCGGGCUAAUACCGCAUAAUCUCGAAAGAGUAAAGCUGGGGCAACCUGGCACUUUAGGAGGAGCCUGCGUACGAUUAGCUAGUUGGUGAGGUAAAGGCUCACCAAGGCGGUGUUCGGUAGCUGGUCUGAGAGGAUGAUCAGCCAAACUGGGACUGAGACACGGCCCGGACUCCAACGGAAGAGAGCAGUGGGGAAUAUUGGACAAUGGGGGCAACCCUGAUGCAGCAAUACCGCGUGUGUGAAGAAGGCCUUAGGGUUGUAAAGCACUUUAGUUGGGGAAGAAGGAUAGUUGUUUAAGAGAUGAUUAUUUUGACGGUACCCAAAGAAUAAGCACCGGCUAACUCUGUGCCAGCCGCCGCGGUAA
This 502-nucleotide ribosomal RNA is filed under the name uncultured bacterium. RNAcentral's name for it is "partial 16S ribosomal RNA". It matches the Rfam family "Bacterial small subunit ribosomal RNA", at positions 30 to 523 of the family's 1533-position model. The record is from RNAcentral.